GGGAGGGAUGCACAUUCUGUAAACAGGAAUAGGUGCGUCACCGGUCACUGAGCUAAAGUUAGCUAGUUAGUCACAGAAAUGUACGUUCAGUCUUAUUUAUUUCAGUCCGAUUUGACUUCUUACGAAGUCAUUAUGGCUCAACAUAGUUUUUCAUUUUUGAACUUGACAUUGUUGCUGGAUAGAUACUUUCAUAGCUAACAUGCUGGUGCUGCUAGCUAGCUAAUGCUAAUGGUGCAAGCUAACGAAGGUUACAUAUGUAACCACGGUUAUGUGAGCUAAACUCAGCAAAAAAAUAAAUGUCCUCUCACUAUCAACUGCAUUUAUUUUCAGCAAAACUUAACAUGUGUAAAUAUUUGUAUGAACAUAACAAGAUUCAACAGACAUAAACUGACAAAGUUCCACAGACAUGUGCUGCACCACCUGGGGAUGUAGGCUCCAGUCCCAAGGUGGCGGACCCUCCCUCAAGAGAAUAUCCGCUGCCACAUUCAGGAUGUCAGGUAUGUGCGCUGUGCAUAGAGACGCUAGACAGCCCUGAGCAGAGAAGGAGCUCCUGUGCCUUAAGAUGGAGGCGGUGGGACCGCAGUCCACCCUGAUGGUUGAUGUAAGCCACCACUGUGGUGUUGUCCGUUCUCACCAGGACAUGUCUUCCUUUCAGAUGUGGAAGGAAAGACCGCAAGGCCAGCAGUACAGCUCUAGUGUAUUUUUUUAUUAUUAUUUUUUUAUCCCAUUUUCUCCCCAAUUUUCGUGGUAUCCAAUCGCUAGUAAUUACUACCUUGUCUCAUCGCUACAACUCCCGUACGGGCUCGGGAGAGACGAAGGUCGAAAGCCAUGCGUCCUCCGAAGCACAACCCAACCAGCCGUACUGCUUCUUAACACAGCGCGCCUCCAACCCGGAAGCCAGCCGCACCAAUGUGUCGGAGGAAACACUGUGUACCUGGCCCCCUUGGCUGGCACGCACUGCGCCCGGCCCGCCACAGGAGUCGCUGGAGCGCGAUGAGACAAGGAUAUCCCUACCGGCCAAACCCUCCCUACCCCGGACGACGCUAUGCCAAUUGUGCGUCGCCCCACGGACCUCCCGGUCGCGGCCGGCUGCGACAGAGCCUGGGCGCGAACCCAGAGACUCUGGUGGCGCAGUUAGCACUGCGAUGCAGUGCCCUAGACCACUGCGCCACCCGGGAGGCCCUAGCUCUAGUGUAUUGAUGUGCCUGCCGCUCCAAGGGGGUAGCCAACAGCCGCUGGCUGACCUGCUCUUGGUCACACCCCCCCCAGACGAUCUGGGAGGGGUCUGUGCUGACCAGCUCCCGGCGGCACAUCCUCAGCAUCUCCACCCCACCUGAGAGAAAGGAGCGACAGCGCCACCUCAACAAUGCCUUGAGGCACUGUGCGGUCACCCGCAGCUGGUGAUGACGGUGGCGCUCCGGGUGCAGCCGGUGGGAGUUGAACCACCAUUGAAGAGGCCGGAGCUGGAUCAGGUCCAGGGGAAUAAGCAACAAGGCCGCCGUCAGCAAGCACAAAUGGCAUUGACAGGUCAGGGCAGAUACCACCCGCCUCUGCCGAAAGUGGUUGAGGCAAGAUGGAUCACCUGAACCCUUCUGGUGGGCAGGCGUGCUCUCAUGAGGACUGAGUCAGUUCCAUGCCAAUGAAGGCCACCCUCUGGGUGGGUGUCAGAUGACUCUUUCUUGUCAUUUACAGUAAUGCCCAGCCCGCCGAUGUGGGUCAGGAGCAUGUCUGUCUGACAGGACCUGGGUCAUGGUCGGGGCACAAAUAAGUCAAUCGUCCAGGUAAUGGUGAGAGGUGCCAGGACAGCAUCCAUGCCAGGACAGUAAGCCGUUUCUUCGAAGUGAAUUGGAGGUACUGCCAAUGAGCUCGGUGAACAGGAACAUGGAAGUGUAACAGUUUAACUUUAGUCCGUCCCCUCGCCCCGGGCGCGAACCAGGGACCCUCUGCACACAGACAACAGUCACCCACGAAGCAUCGUUACCCAUCGCUCCACAAAAGCCGCGGCACUUGCAGAGCAAGGGGGACCACUACUUCAAGGUCUCAGAGCAAGUCACGUCACCGAUUGAAAGGCUAUUAGCGCGCACCACUGCUAACUAGCUAGUCAUUUCACAUCCGUUACAGAAGCCCUCAGGUCCAGUGCCACAAACCACUGGUCCCUGGACACUGCCUGCAACACGAGGCUGGGGACAGCAUGUGGAACCUCAGUACCCAUUGAGGUUGCGGAGGUCCAGAAUCGGUCGACACCCUCUGUCUCUUUUUGGAACCACAAAAUAAGUUGAGUAGAACCUAGCUAGUCGUUCUGAUGUCUCGAUCCUACAGAUGACACCCUUGUCCAGGAGUGAGGAGAUCUCCAGCUGCGGGGUUUUCUUCGGGGGGGGUUGGUCACCGUGGUGACACGAAGGCCCCUGAAGGAAGCGGCCGGCACCCGGAAUUUAAGUCGGUACCUCUCGAGCAUUGUAAACACCCAGGGGGACUCCACACCCUCCUCCCACUUUGCCCUUUGAGACCUGGAGAAGCGCCGAGGCCAGGGAAGGGUGUGUCAGGGGUCCUGCCGGGGCCCGCCUCUCCUCUGGCGCCCCGAGCACCUGGGUCUCCCAGGCACGUCCCUAUGGCGGUGACAGAUGAUACCAUCACACCUGUCACAAAUGGAAGCCAUAAGCUAAACCAAGCCAACCAUGCCAUAGAGCAGGGGUCCGACACCCUGGGAGAGCUUAUUGUCGUGACCCCCUUGGAGGAAUAGGAACCCGGUGAGGGAUAAUUUACCCAGUACCUCUGCAAACACAGGGGCUGACCCCUGUGGGAAAAACAGGAAGACAAAAAGAACAGCAACCAAGUAAUGGAUUUGUUUUUUGUUUUUACACCAACUGCAGGUUAAUAUCAAGCAGUAAAAACAGCACCAUAUGGAGUAACACCCGUUAAGGAACCCCAAAGUUACUGUCUCAACGUCGUUUUCCACGUUACUCACUCUGUAGGGGAAAGAAACAGCACCUACAGCCGGGGAGCAGCAUGUUAAGCAAUUCACAACAGACAUAGAACAAGCCAGUCGGCAAGUUGUGUAAGGUAAAUUACAGUUUGUUGAUCGGCAAGAGCCACCAAUAUAUUAAUGCACACGGAGUUGUAGUGUACACAAGCACGACAAUCCACUGGCAGAAGAUACAGAUCAACCAAGUGGCGCAAUCAAGAAGGGCUGGCCAUGUGGCCAGCUGUUCCAGGAUGCAAACAGCCAGAGAGUACACUUCCACGCAAGAUAUUACACUUAUCAAGCGAUCUUCAGAAAGCUUGUACCUCAAACCAUACAGACGUCUGCCGAGAAAAUGAAAGAGAACGUGUGCGGCCAUGGGGUCUAUAUAUAGGAGCGGACCCCAGCUGUGACACGUGUGUACACGGAAGUAAAUCUGUAAAUCCUCAACUCGGAUGUAUCCCUCCGCCGCGGAGUGAUACCAAUAUAGUGAAACAACCUCUUAUCUUGGAUGCCUCACUCUAGUUCCCGAGAGAGAGCACCAUACUGGUUAGCCAACUUUGUUUUCUAACUUUGUAAUCAUCUGUAAAGUUAUUUUACAUGCAAUCAUAGAAGCUAGAUAUAUUUUGUUAAAAAGCCUGUUGUCAUUCAUUGGUUGUUUCUUUGGAGCUAGCUAAGCUAUCACCAGCUAGCUAACGUUAGGUGGAUAAUAAUGUGAUGUACAGUAGGCUACAGUAACGUUACCGUUACAGUAUUACUGAAUGACAACAAUAUAGCCUUGUCACUAUUAGUUGGCAAGUUGGUUGAUGUGGGGUGCAGUAGAAUACGGUACAAUAUUACUAAAUGAUAACGUAGCCUUGUGACCAGCUAGUAGUUGGUUGAUGGGGUAGGGUACUGUCACGCCCUGACCGUAGAGAGCUUUUUAUGUCUCUAUUUUGGUUUGGUCAGGGUGUGAUUUGGGUGGGCAUUCUAUGUUAAUUUUCUAUGUUUUGUAUUUCCUUGUGUUUGGCCGGGUGAGGUUCUCAAUCAGAGGCAGCUGUCUAUCGUUGUCUCUGAUUGAGAACCAUACUUAGGUAGCUUUUUCCCACAUGGUUUUUGUGGGUAGUUAUUUUCUGUUUAGUACCUGACAGGACUGUUUCGGUUAUUCUCGUUGUUAUUUUGUUCUUAGUGUUCAGUUUCAAUAAAAAUCAUGAACACUUACUGUUACGUUCCCCAGUUUCUGUGUUGUAGUUUGUAUUUGAGUGUGUGUGUUUCAGGAGAUGGCAUCCUGAAAUUCUCCCCACGCAGCUGAUUGGUCGGCCCCAAUUGAUGAUUGGAGAGCUGACCCCGCCCCCUCGUCAAGAUACAGCUGUCUCUAAUUACCAAUGCCUUCUGAAGCUAUAAAAGCCAGUGUUCUGUUGUUCAGAAGAGAGAUGAUAGGCAGGCAUGGAACAUUGCUGAGAGUGGAGGUUUAUGGCUGAGGGUUAUAGCAUAUUGGUUGUUGGUAUGUACUGUGUUAGUUGUUGCUGGGAGCAGUUGGUAUGUUCCGUGUGAGAUUGUUGCUCAGCUAGAGCUUAUUUGAUGUCCUUUGUUUCUUAGUUUGUUUGAGAUAGUUUGAUAUUCUGUUUCAUUUGUUCCCAGGGGGGAAGGGGAAGGCACCUAGGGAGUGCUUAGGCAAGAGGCCCGUGGGCAUACAUAUACCCGUAGUAUAUUCACUGUCUAGGCACACUAGGUAAGACCUGGGUGGACCGCCCCCUGUAUUUUGGUUAGUGCACCAGGUGGUGCUAAGUUAGGUAAGUAGUGAGUAGGCAGGUUAGAUAGGAGAGGUGGAGCUUUGACAUUGACUUUCUUUGCUUUGGUUCUGCCCAGCCCCUUUUCCCCAUAUUACCGUGUAAAGGAAAUAAAUCCUAGUAAGCGGUCAAUUCUGCCUUUUGUCGUCCUUUCUCGCACCUACAGUUCAUACCUAUUUCACUUCACGGGGAGUUGAGUUGCAGGAGGGUGUUGCAUUCCCUCCACAGAGGCGUGUGUAACACUUAACACGCUGCGCUUUGGUCCACACCUUCUUCAACAGAUGACCGUUACAGGCCCUUCAUUCCCAAACCUGAAGCCCUUUGUCCCCAGCAGGAAAGACCAGGAGAAAGUGUUGGCUUAACCUCUACUUAAGAUCUGCCAUGCACUCCACCACUGCCCGACAGGCCCAGUGUAUGCACUUCUGGGUGAGGCUAUCAAGACUGACAAAAGCAGAGAUGGGUGGUUGACAAGGAAAAAUUAAACACAACAUGCACACACACUCUGUCACACACACAUUAUCCCCAAUGUAAAUAAAUUGUAAUUACUUGUUUUUAUGUAUGCUCCAUUUUAUUUUAGGAUUGGAGAGAUUUAUGCCUACAUAUCCAUUAUCGAUAUCUACAUAAUUACUCUAAAUAUCUAUCCAAUAAAAGUGUGACUGUAAAUAUUGUAUAAGACUAUUGUGUAAUUUUUCAGAGUUGAAAACAGGCUUCCCUCACACACACAUUAGACCCAAUGUAAAUACAUUGUUUAUUUUAUGUAUGCCCCAUUUUAUUUGAGGAUUGUG
Molecule: long non-coding RNA, 5513 nt
Organism: Salvelinus fontinalis (brook trout)
Lineage: Eukaryota; Metazoa; Chordata; Actinopteri; Salmoniformes; Salmonidae
Exons: 3
Source: RefSeq, a predicted model, not a curated record